AUAAUAAUUAGUCUUUUAAUUGAAGGCUGGUAUGAAUGAUUGAACGAAAUAAUAACUGUCUCAUUUUAAUUAAUUUUUUAAUUUAAUUUUUAAGUUAAAAAGCUUAAAUUUUAUUAAAGGACGAGAAGACCCUAUAGAACUUUAUAUUUUUAUAUUAAAUUAAAUAAAUAUAUUAGUUGAUUUUAUGAAAUUAUUUUAUUGGGGCGAUAGUAAAAUUAAUUAAACUUUUAUAAUAUUAUUACAUAAAUUAAUGGUUAUUUGACCCUAUUUUUUAGAUUAUUAGAUUAAGUUACCUUAGGGAUAACAGCGUUAUUUUUUUAAAAAGUUCAUAUUAAUAAAAAAGAUUGC
This 348-nucleotide ribosomal RNA is filed under the name Pteryperga galla. RNAcentral describes it as "partial 16S ribosomal RNA". Lineage: Eukaryota; Metazoa; Arthropoda; Insecta; Hymenoptera; Pergidae. The record is from RNAcentral.